GAGUUUGAACCUGGCUCAGGAUGAACGCUGGCGGCGUGCCUAAUACAUGCAAGUCGAACGAAACUUCUUUAUCACCGAGUGCUUGCACUCACCGAUAAAGAGUUGAGUGGCGAACGGGUGAGUAACACGUGGGCAACCUGCCCAAAAGAGGGGGAUAACACUUGGAAACAGGUGCUAAUACCGCAUAACCAUAGUUACCGCAUGGUAACUAUGUAAAAGGUGGCUAUACUACCGCUUUUGGAUGGGCCCGCGGCGCAUUAGCUAGUUGGUAGGGUAAAGGCUUACCAAGGCAAUGAUGCGUAGCCGAAUUGAGAGGUUGAUCGGCCACAUUGGGACUGAGACACGGCCCAAACUCCUACGGGAGGCAGCAGUAGGGAAUCUUCCACAAUGGGCGAAAGCCUGAUGGAGCAACGCCGCGUGGGUGAAGAAGGUCUUCGGAUCGUAAAACCCUGUUGUUAGAGAAGAAAGUGCGUGAGAGUAACUGUUCACGUUUCGACGGUAUCUAACCAGAAAGCCACGGCUAACUACGUGCCAGCAGCCGCGGUAAU
RNAcentral lists this ribosomal RNA (548 nucleotides) under uncultured bacterium. RNAcentral describes it as "bacterial SSU rRNA". It matches the Rfam family "Bacterial small subunit ribosomal RNA", at positions 9 to 524 of the family's 1533-position model. The record is from RNAcentral.